ACGCUCGACACCUACGGUAGGCAGCAGUGGGGAAUAUUGCACAAUGGGGGAAACCCUGAUGCAGCAACGCCGCGUGAAGGAAGAAGGUUUUCGGAUCGUAAACUUCUAUCAAUAGGGACGAAGGAAAUGACGGUACCUAAAUAAGAAGCCCCGGCUAACUACGUUCCAGCAGCCGCGGUAAUCUGAGCGGGCUGGCAAGGC
This 201-nucleotide ribosomal RNA is filed under the name uncultured bacterium. RNAcentral's name for it is "partial 16S ribosomal RNA". It matches the Rfam family "Bacterial small subunit ribosomal RNA", at positions 326 to 539 of the family's 1533-position model. The record is from RNAcentral.